This 888-nucleotide long non-coding RNA is filed under the name Nicotiana tabacum (common tobacco). RNAcentral describes it as "long non-coding RNA (NTAB_LNC008107)". Lineage: Eukaryota; Viridiplantae; Streptophyta; Magnoliopsida; Solanales; Solanaceae. The record is from RNAcentral.
CCAGUGAAGAUGAAGCAGGCUUUAGCAACAUUUUUAGUCGUGAUUGCUUUUCUUAUUCUCAUAUCAGGUAUAUUUCUUAUAUUCGUACGCAUUAAUUAUUUCAAUGAACAAUUUAAAAAGGAUAAUUUCCAUGAGAAAAAAAUAAGUUUUUCAUCCCUUCGGGAAUGCCCAGUUGGUUUGGAGGGUGGUCAUCCAUAUGGAUGAUCUGGGAUGGAUCCCCCCUCAAUGUCUUAUGGGUUGAGUCUGUCGCAUAGGGUUUGCCUAGUGCGGUUUACAUCUCCUGUGUGGUUUGCAAACUAUUGCACAGAGAUUUACCCAAUGCACACAAAGUGCUCACCCGAAGGACAGAGGCUGUAGCGACUGCGGGUUCCUCCUUAACCAAAAAAAAAAAAAAAAAAAGCUUUUCGAUUUAUCCAAAAAACUAGCAACUCUUUGGACGUUCUUCAUUCAUUUUUUCAUUUUAAUCAUAUGCAAUUGUAAAUUUUUUGAUGACUAAAGGCCACAUUAUAAGGGAGAGGGAUUGUUUAUGUAGCUAGUAAUUAUUUAAACUGGUUUUUAUAAUGAUUUAUCAUUAUUAUUUUUGCAGAAAAUGGAAUGCCUUCAGCAGAGGGUGCUCCAGUAAAUGUUUGUGAACAAAUAGUUUCGGGAAUUAAGUGUCCACCGGAAGGAAAUUCAAAGAUAUGCCUGACGGAGUGCUUUAGAAUAUCCAAAGGUAAUAAACCCAUCAGUCAUUAUUGUUUAGAUGGGAAAGAUUCAACUUAUUGCUAUUGUCAAUGGAGAGCAGAUUCCUGUAAUUAAAGAGUGUUAUUUAUGCAAGUAUUUAGCAGUUGCAUUGCUGAUUCUUCAUGAAGUUGAGCGAGUACAAGAAUUUCUUAAAGUGUAAGAGCG